RNAcentral lists this small RNA (49 nucleotides) under Sinorhizobium meliloti 2011. Its description in RNAcentral is "putative ncRNA". The record is from RNAcentral. Lineage: Bacteria; Pseudomonadati; Pseudomonadota; Alphaproteobacteria; Hyphomicrobiales; Rhizobiaceae.
AGCCAACGGCGAGCCAGAUGAUGCGCUUGUCCAUCGGGAGACCCCGCUU